GCCCCUUUUUUUGGCCCGAGCCGAACACCGGCGAACACCGGCGCACGGUUGCUGAGUCGCCUGGCAAGCGAGCGGUCGUCAGUUCGAUCCUGACAGGGGGCU
This 102-nucleotide transfer RNA is filed under the name Mycobacterium sp. Its description in RNAcentral is "tRNA-OTHER". The record is from RNAcentral. Lineage: Bacteria; Bacillati; Actinomycetota; Actinomycetes; Mycobacteriales; Mycobacteriaceae.